AAACCCUUCGUGCCCCAUAGUUGUCGUAGUUAGAUAUCAAAGUUCUCCCUCUUAAACUUCUUGUACUUAAUACCAAUUGAUUUUUUUCUUCUUCAGGAUGGAACCACAACCAGCUAUGGCUCAACAAUCAAUUGACAUUGCAGAAACUAGCAAGAAAAAGUUAAAUCUACCACAAAUUAUAUGUCUAGAAGCAAUGAAGAGCUCACCACCACUGUCAUCCUCCACGCCUACUUCGCCGACAGUCUUAAGGAAGGCAUCAAGUGUAAAGCACAGCUGCUUGUGUUCACCAACAACACAUGCUGGUUCAUUCAGAUGCAGAUACCACAGGAACUCCGGCCUGACUCGCACCA
RNAcentral lists this unclassified non-coding RNA (350 nucleotides) under Hevea brasiliensis (rubber tree). Lineage: Eukaryota; Viridiplantae; Streptophyta; Magnoliopsida; Malpighiales; Euphorbiaceae. The record is from RNAcentral.